RNAcentral lists this unclassified non-coding RNA (245 nucleotides) under plant metagenome. RNAcentral describes it as "partial contains small subunit ribosomal RNA and internal transcribed spacer 1". The stretch from base 1 to 46 matches the Rfam family "Eukaryotic small subunit ribosomal RNA", at positions 1786 to 1831 of the family's 1831-position model. The record is from RNAcentral.
AAGUCGUAACAAGGUUUCCGUAGGUGAACCUGCGGAAGGAUCAUUAAAGAGAUAGGGUCUUCAUGGCCCGACCUCCAACCCUCUGUUGUUAUAACUACCUUUGGAUUUCGUCUUUGGGCUGGGAUCCGGUGCUCGGGUCUCCGAGCGCACUAACCCUCGGGUUUGGUGGAGCGCCCGCCAGAGUCCAACCAAACUCUUGUAUUAAACCAGUCGUCUGAGUAUAAAAUUUUUAAUUAAAUUAAAAG